This 690-nucleotide long non-coding RNA is filed under the name Gallus gallus (chicken). RNAcentral describes it as "long non-coding RNA NONGGAT011658". Lineage: Eukaryota; Metazoa; Chordata; Aves; Galliformes; Phasianidae. The record is from RNAcentral.
CUAAAAGCACCUUCCCCCUUUACUCUGUGUCUACGGCAGGUAUCUGAAGGGAAGGUGGCAGCGGCACACCACAAGGAUGGUGCUGGAUCCCAAGCUGGUGCACACUGUCACCUGAUGUGUAAGCUGCAAUUUAUUUUGAAGCAUUUUCUCAUUAUCCUCAGGUUUAUUCGUAACUUCUCCCACCAGCAUGCUGAGGGCAAGCACUGACUGGCUUCCAUGUGGGCUGUGGGGCUGUGACCUCACAGAGGUGUCCCCACCCAAAGGAUUGUGACCUCACGGCCAACUCAGUAUGAGCUAGCAACCAGCACCCUGCCUCUCCCAGUGCGGUCGUGACCGGCUUUGAGCGAUGGUUGACGACAGCUUUCUCCUUGUCCCUAUGACCCUUUUCUUCUUGUAUGUCCUGUUCUUGGUGGCCAGGGUCUCCCUGCUCAUCACCAUCUGGUUCCUACAGGUAGGGGAGUUUGAGGAUGGCUGUGGGACUCAGGGCUGGGGGAUUUGGAACCGAUUGCGCGGGUUGCUUCCCAGGCGCCUCACAGUGCCACGUUCAUGUGCCUGCAGGCUGGCAGACGACUCUUGCGACUGAGGAGAUGGUGGCGGAGAGGAGCAUCAGCACCGGAGUCAGGUGCUCAGAGACCAACGUCUGGGACAUCUUGCUCCUGCUCCAGCUGCAACCGCUGCAGCAAAGCUGAC